AGACCCGAAACCCGGUGAUCUAGCCAUGGGCAGGUUGAAGGUUGGGUAACACUAACUGGAGGACCGAACCGACUAAUGUUGAAAAAUUAGCGGAUGACCUGUGGCUGGGGGUGAAAGGCCAAUCAAACCGGGAGAUAGCUGGUUCUCCCCGAAAGCUAUUUAGGUAGCGCCUCGUGAAUUCAUCUCCGGGGGUAGAGCACUGUUUCGGCUAGGGGGCCAUCCCGGCUUACCAACCCGAUGCAAACUGCGAAUACCGGAGAAUGUUAUCACGGGAGACACACGGCGGGUGCUAACGUCCGUCGUGAAGAGGGAAACAACCCAGACCGCCAGCUAAGGUCCCAAAGUCAUGGUUAAGUGGGAAACGAUGUGGGAAGGCCCAGACAGCCAGGAUGUUGGCUUAGAAGCAGCCAUCAUUUAAAGAAAGCGUAAUAGCUCACUGGUCGAGUCGGCCUGCGCGGAAGAUGUAACGGGGCUAAACCAUGCACCGAAGCUGCGGCAGCGACGCUUAUGCGUUGUUGGGUAGGGGAGCGUUCUGUAAGCCUGUGAAGGUGGCCUGUGAGGGUUGC
RNAcentral lists this ribosomal RNA (566 nucleotides) under Salmonella enterica subsp. enterica serovar Paratyphi B var. L(+) tartrate +. Its description in RNAcentral is "partial 23S ribosomal RNA". It matches the Rfam family "Bacterial large subunit ribosomal RNA", at positions 711 to 1273 of the family's 2925-position model. Lineage: Bacteria; Pseudomonadati; Pseudomonadota; Gammaproteobacteria; Enterobacterales; Enterobacteriaceae. The record is from RNAcentral. RNAcentral also lists the same sequence under 2 other names.